This 510-nucleotide ribosomal RNA is filed under the name uncultured bacterium. RNAcentral's name for it is "partial 16S ribosomal RNA". It matches the Rfam family "Bacterial small subunit ribosomal RNA", at positions 28 to 507 of the family's 1533-position model. The record is from RNAcentral.
GACGAACGCUGGCGGCGUGCUUAACACAUGCAAGUCGAACGAAGAGCGACGGAAGCUUGCUUCUAUCAAUCUUAGUGGCGAACGGGUGAGUAACGCGUAAUCAACCUGCCCUUCAGAGGGGGACAACAGUUGGAAACGACUGCUGAUACCGCAUACGAUCUAAUCUCGGCAUCGAGGAUGGAUGAAAGGUGGCCUCUACAUGUAAGCUAUCACUGAAGGAGGGGAUUGCGUCUGAUUAGCUAGUUGGAGGGGUAACGGCCCACCAAGGCGAUGAUCAGUAGCCGGUCUGAGAGGAUGAACGGCCACAUUGGGACUGAGACACGGCCCAGACUCCUACGGGAGGCAGCAGUGGGGAAUCUUCCGCAAUGGACGAAAGUCUGACGGAGCAACGCCGCGUGAGUGAUGACGGCCUUCGGGUUGUAAAGCUCUGUUAAUCGGGACGAAAGGCCUUCUUGCGAAUAGUGAGAAGGAUUGACGGUACCGGAAUAGAAAACCACGGCUAACUACGUG